UGGUGGAGUGAUUUGUCUGCUUAAUUGCGAUAACGAACGAGACCUUAACCUGCUAAAUAGCCAGGCUAGCGUUUGCUGGUCUCCUGGCUUCUUAGAGGGACUAUCGGCUCAAGCCGAUGGAAGUUUGAGGCAAUAACA
This 138-nucleotide ribosomal RNA is filed under the name uncultured eukaryote. RNAcentral's name for it is "partial 18S ribosomal RNA". It matches the Rfam family "Eukaryotic small subunit ribosomal RNA", at positions 1299 to 1458 of the family's 1831-position model. The record is from RNAcentral.